Molecule: unclassified non-coding RNA, 387 nt
Filed under: soil metagenome
Description: partial contains 5.8S ribosomal RNA, internal transcribed spacer 2, and large subunit ribosomal RNA
Rfam family: 5.8S ribosomal RNA (bases 1-120)
Source: RNAcentral
GAUGAAGAACGUAGCGAAAUGCGAUAAGUAAUGUGAAUUGCAGAAUUCAGUGAAUCAUCGAAUCUUUGAACGCACCUUGCGCUCCUUGGUAUUCCGAGGAGCAUGUCUGUUUGAGUGUCAUGAAAUUCUCAACCUUUUCAGCUUUCUUUGUUGAUCAGGCUUGGAUGUGGGAGUAUGCGGGCUUCUCAGAAGUCGGCUCUCCUGAAAUGCAUUAGCGGGACCUUUGUUGCCUGGCUUUGGUGUGAUAAUUAUCUACGCCAUUGUAGUCAAGCAGCUUAAAAUGAGGUUUCAGCUUCUAACCGUCUCCCCUGAGACAACUUUUUGACAAUUUGACCUCAAAUCAGGUAGGACUACCCGCUGAACUUACGCAUAUCAAUAAGCGGAGGA